AUACGUAGGGAGCGAGCGUUGUCCGGAAUUACUGGGUGUAAAGGGAGCGUAGGCGGGAGCGCAAGUCAGAUGUGAAAUACAUGGGCCCAACCCAUGGGCUGCAUUUGAAACUGCAUUUCUUGAGUGAAGUAGAGGUAAGCGGAAUUCCUGGUGUAGCGGUGCAACGCGUAGAUAUCAGGAGGAACACCGGUGGCGAAGGCGGCUUACUGGGCUUUUACUGACGCUGAGGCUCGAAAGCGUGGGGAGCAAACAGGAUUAGAUACCCUGGUAGUCCACGCUGUAAACGAUGAUUACUAGGUGUGGGGGGACUGACCCCUUCCGUGCCGCAGUUAACACAAUAAGUAAUCCACCUGGGGAGUACGGCCGCAAGGUUGAAACUCAAAUGAAUUGACGGGG
RNAcentral lists this ribosomal RNA (396 nucleotides) under uncultured bacterium. RNAcentral's name for it is "partial 16S ribosomal RNA". It matches the Rfam family "Bacterial small subunit ribosomal RNA", at positions 523 to 918 of the family's 1533-position model. The record is from RNAcentral.